AGGGUGUAAACGCUGCAGACUUGGUGUUGGAAAUCCUUCGAGGGUAUUCAGUGCCGGAGAGAAGUUGUUAAGUCUGCUACUUGGGGAGUACGUCCGCAAGGAUGAAACUUAAAGGAUUGGCGGGGGAGCACCGCAACGGGAGGAGCGUGCGGUUCAAUUGGAUUCAACGCCGAAAAACUCACCAGGAGCGACGGAUAUAUGAAGGUCAAGUUGAUGACUUUACCUGAUUUUCCGAGAGGUGGUGCAUGGCGUAGACGUCU
Molecule: ribosomal RNA, 260 nt
Filed under: uncultured archaeon
Lineage: Archaea
Description: partial 16S ribosomal RNA
Rfam family: Archaeal small subunit ribosomal RNA
Source: RNAcentral